RNAcentral lists this transfer RNA (71 nucleotides) under Goggia rupicola. RNAcentral's name for it is "tRNA-Ala". Lineage: Eukaryota; Metazoa; Chordata; Lepidosauria; Squamata; Gekkonidae. The record is from RNAcentral.
AAGGGGGCCUGUAAAACUCUAAUUUACAGCUUCUGAAUGCAACCCAGACACUUUAAUUAAGCUAAAGCCCC